UACGUAGGUGGCAAGCGUUGUCCGGAUUUACUGGGCGUAAAGAGCGCGCAGGCGGUCGUUCAAGUCGCGUGUGAAAGCCCCCGGCUCAACUGGGGAGGGUCACGCGAUACUGAUCGACUCGAAGGCAGGAGAGGGAAGUGGAAUUCCCGGUGUAGUGGUGAAAUGCGUAGAUAUCAGGAGGAACACCAGUGGCGAAGGCGACUUCCUGGCCUGUUCUUGACGCUGAGGCGCGAAAGCUAGGGGAGCAAACGGG
This 253-nucleotide ribosomal RNA is filed under the name uncultured bacterium. RNAcentral's name for it is "partial 16S ribosomal RNA". It matches the Rfam family "Bacterial small subunit ribosomal RNA", at positions 524 to 776 of the family's 1533-position model. The record is from RNAcentral.